CGGGGCGUAGCGCAGUUUGGCUAGCGCGCUAGACUGGGGGUCUAGAGGUCGUGGGUUCAAAUCCCGCCGCCCCGA
Molecule: transfer RNA, 75 nt
Organism: Singulisphaera acidiphila DSM 18658
Lineage: Bacteria; Pseudomonadati; Planctomycetota; Planctomycetia; Isosphaerales; Isosphaeraceae
Rfam family: tRNA
About the family: Transfer RNA (tRNA) molecules are approximately 80 nucleotides in length. Their secondary structure includes four short double-helical elements and three loops (D, anti-codon, and T loops).
Source: Rfam